Candidatus Woesebacteria bacterium is the source of this 1921-nucleotide non-coding RNA. The record is from Rfam. NCBI's taxonomy places the organism in Bacteria, Candidatus Woeseibacteriota.
ACACCGAAUUCCCAAGGUUUCCGUCGCGAGGUUCGUCCUCGACGGGUUAGUCGGUUCCUAAGGCGAGGCCAAUUGGCGUAGUCGAUGGACAAGCAGUCAAAAUUCUGCUACUUGUUUUAAGUCGCAAGAGUGUCCCGAUUUAUCGGGAUGCUAACUGGGGGUUGACAGAGAUGGAUAAUUGAAGUCCCGAGUUGAAGCGGGGUGCAAGUUGCGAGAUAGUUCCGAUUAGAAAAACUAUCGGGAUGAUUAAUCGAGCAGUGAUGCAGAGUCUGGUGAAAACUGGACAAUUUCAUACUAUUCAACUUACGAGAAAAGACUCGCAGUGAGACUUAAGGUAAGCCGUACCGUAAACCAACACAGGUGGGAUGGUAGAGAAUACUAAGGUGAGCGAGAGAAGGAUCUUUAAGGAACUCGGCAAACAAACUACCCGUAACUUCGGGAGAUGGGUUGCCUGUUAGAUAGCCGUAAGGCGUCAUCUAAUGGGUUGCAACUAAAGAGUGCUAGUCGACUGUUUAUCAAAAACACAGGUCCGUGCAAACUCGAAAGAGGAGGUAUACGGGCCGACGCCUGCCCAGUGCUGGUAAGUUAAAGGGAUCUGUGGUCGCCGCAAGGUGACUGCAGUGAACUGAAGCUCCAGUCAACGGCAGCAGUAACUAUAACUGUUCUACGGUAGCGAAGUUCCUUGUCGGGUAAGUUCCGACCUGCACGAAAGGCGUCACGAGCUAGCAACUGUCUUGAAGAUUCACUCGGCGAAAUUGCGAUGGCUGUGAAGACGCGGCCUACUUGUACCAGGACAAAAAGACCCCGUGGAGCUUUACUGUAGUCUGGCAUUGGUUUGUGCAUUUCAAUUGUCAAGAAUAGGAGGGAGCCGUAAGGCAAUAAUGUAAUACCUCUCUUUGGGAUGUUUCAAAUCUAUACUUAUAAGCCUUGAAGACAGGUUUGAGGAAGGUGUCAGAUGGGCAGUUUUACUGGGGCGGUACCCUGCUAAAAGGUAACGCAGGGGUACAAAGGUUGGCUUACCACGGAUGGAAAUCGUGGGUAAAGCACAAAGGCAUAAGCCAGCUUGACUGCAACACCGACGGGUGGAGCAGGUGCGAAAGCAGGUCUUAGUGAUCCCCCGUUUCUUCAUGGGAAGGACGGGGCUUAACGGAUAAAAGCUACCCCGGGGAUAACAGAGUAGUCGCGCCCGCGAGUCCAUAUCGACGGCGCGGAUCGCUACCUCGAUGUCGGCUCAUCACAUCCUGGGGGGGGAGCACCUCCCAAGGGUUGGUCUGUUCGCCCAUUAAAGUGGUACGUGAGCUGGGUUCAGAACGUCGCGAGACAGUGAAUAGUCCAAGCGGUCUCACCCUUUAGACGUUUUGAAAUUCGAGAGAGAAAUUAUUUUAUUUUUUUGUCCAAAUAUGAAUGAAGGGAUAUAAAUCUGGCUAUAUGCUGGAACAACUCGAGUAUCCGACAGUAGUUUAGUGAAAACUGAACUGAAAAUCUGAUCGGUGGAGUAAAUCAGCAGGGAAGACCCCGCUUAGCGGGGAACCCUCAACGACUAUACGCCAGAAGCCGCGAAGCUAGAAUUAGCGAAGUGGUUAAGAUAUAGUCUGAUCUCUAUGGUGACAUAGAGCUAACAAAUAUUUAAUGUCGGACUCUAUCCGGUACAAGCGUUCGAGUCUUGAGGAGAGCUCUCCCCAGUACGAGAGGACCGGGAGGGGGAAAUCCCUAGUGUGCCGGUUGUCACGUCAGUGGCAACGCCGGGUAGCUACAUUUCUAAUGGAUAACUGCUGAAAGCAUCUAAGUAGGAAGCCAACUCCAAGAUUAGGACUCGUCACUAGAUCCCCCGCAGACUACGGGGUUAAUCGGCAGGCGGUGGAAGUUCCGGUUUACCGGGAUUAAGCCUACCUUGUGCGAAUCGAUCGAACAUUUUUUUGCG